CGAGGAGCACGGUAUGGGCUUGUUGGCUUCCUUUCCAGGAGCGUUGAGGGCACGUGUGCCGUACGGGUCGCAUGCGAAGCACGAAUGUGCGGAGCAUGGGCGUGCGGGGUGUCGCGCUAUGUCGCUGGCGUUGGAAGACAGACGAGCUUGUGGCGCACACUUGGGUGGCUGCUUUGACGUGUGUCAGUGGACUGAGCGAGCAGGCCGCGAGUAGGUGGUAUGGCCGUGGAUGCUGUUAGGCGCAAGAGGCCCAAUCGUGGAGAAGUGACCUAGCUUGGUGGCCAGCCUCAGUAUUGGGGUUGCUCGUUGGGGAACUCGUGGAGUCCGACGAGGGGUUCGAUUGCAGGCGAUUGGUUGAGCUGUCAGUCUCGCGCAGGAGCAAGCUUGGCAAAUGCUUGGAUUGGUAUUCCGCUGUUAAGUUUGGAAGGCUUGUCCGUGGUUAGGACUUGUGGUAGGCUUGCCCAUCUUCGAGCAGGAAGGGGGCGCCGCACGGGCUUUACGAAGAAAAAAGUUUUGUCCGUGACAAGUGGUAUCAGAGCCAGAGGUCACGGGUUCGAUUCCUGCAUGCUGCAAAUGUGUGCAGGUGCUGGAGGGGGGGAUUGUUGGGUUAAAUGGGUCAGCAUCCUGCCCUGUGGCGGGAGGCCAUGUGGGCCGAGUCACAAUCGAGACCCGUGGGCGCUGUUUCUGUACGCUUUAAGUGAAUUGGUUGCAUAUUUCUAACAGCUCNCCCGUGGGCGCUGUUUCUGUACGCUUUAAGUGAAUUGGUUGCAUAUUUCUAACAGCUCGAGCUUUUGGGAUUAAUGGUUAGCGCCAACGAUCCGACAAACUACAUAUUAACUAGUCUAAUGAACAUAUAUUUUUGUUAAUUAAUUAGUAGGUGGCUUAUUAAUUAAGGCUUUACCGUUUUUAAAUAUUUUCUUAAUAAUAUUCUUCUUCUUUUUUUUGAGAGAGAUAAGCAGUAUGUUAUUCGCUUCGUUUAUUUCAUUUAGAAAUAAACUUAGUUGGAAAUGUAAAAAAUUAGGAUUCAAACUUGAGAUUUCAGAUACCAACCACCAAAUCCUUUGCCACUUGCGCUAGGAACGGUUGGUUCUUUUGCAUUAUUUUUAGCACAACCUAUUGUACUCAUGUGCACAACUUGCUUACUAUUUGUGUACACUAAAUAUUUUGAUUUGAUAAAAUAAGUGGUUUCGCAUAUUUUGAUUAGAAUAUGGUAAAUAGCUUUGCUAGAUCUCCUAUAUAUUGUACUCGUUCCGUGCGAGUGAUCUAUUCAAAUGUUCUUUUUAUUACAAAAUAAUAUUUUGCUUAAGACCAAAAUAAUUCGGUAAUUAAUAAUAACUUUAAUUGAAAAUAGGAGUCUACUGAACUAUUUGAUAGAGUACAAGGGAUCCAAUUAUUAAAAUUAAAAGUUCAAACACUUGUUUAUAAAAAAUCUAAAGUUUAUGAAUUAAGUCUUUCUACAUUUUUCCCUAAGAUUUAUAAUAAUUAAUUGUUCCUCACAUUUAUGUCCGAACACAAUUCGGUUUAAAUUGAAUUACUAUAAUCCAACUAGAUUACUUUUGAUUAAUUUAGUUUGAUUUCAUUUAUAAUUCUUCUUGAUUUAAUUUUACGUAUCGAGAUCAAACUGAAGAAACUGUUAAAAUCGGAACGGCGAAAAAUAGAUCCAGAAAAUAAUUUAAUGCAGGAAACGAAAAGAUAAGAGGAAAGAGCACACCGAUAUUUUCGUCGUUCGGCCAACAGCCUACGUCCACGGGCGAAGACGGAGCAAAUAAUUUAUUAAUGUCGAAAAGACGGAGUACAAAGAAGAUCUCUCAAAAGACCCGAAACUCUAAUCAGAUCAAAAACGCCGUAAUAAGCAACUCCGAAAAAAAUAGCUUCUCUCUCAAUCCGUACGAACCAACAAAAUUGGGCCUUAAUUAGCACUAGGCUCUUCAACCGUACGGACCCAAUGUGCAUAAUUAGUCGCCGGCUCCUCGGAUGCUCACUUAAUAAAUUAGAGCUCCAACUCUCUCUUUGCUCGUGAUGAUGCAGCCACCGAAAACACCAAAUUAACACGAAGCUCGGUUCCCUCCGGCAACAACCGUACCCUCCAAGAGCUUAAUUAAUUAGUGCAUGGCCUCUUAAUUUUGUUGCGGCUAGAUUAAUUUGGCCGUAGCAUGUAUUUAUAAUACAUGUCUCCUAAAUAGAGUCUAAUUCUAAUUCAAUUAGAAAUUAGAUUCCGACUCAUAAUCCAUAUAUGCCAAAUUAAAUCUAAAUUAUAUUCAAUCUCAAUUAGAUUAGGAUUUAACUCCAAUUUAGAUAACUACAAAUCUAAACUAAAUAUAAGCUAAUUUAUAAG
RNAcentral lists this long non-coding RNA (2335 nucleotides) under Ananas comosus (pineapple). RNAcentral describes it as "long non-coding RNA (ACOM_LNC005750)". The record is from RNAcentral. Lineage: Eukaryota; Viridiplantae; Streptophyta; Magnoliopsida; Poales; Bromeliaceae.